GGGUGUAGCGCAGCCUGGUAGCGCACCUGAAUGGGGUUCAGGUGGUCGCCGGUUCAAAUCCGGCCACCC
This 69-nucleotide transfer RNA is filed under the name Dehalococcoidia bacterium. Its description in RNAcentral is "tRNA-Pro". It matches the Rfam family "tRNA". Rfam says of the family: Transfer RNA (tRNA) molecules are approximately 80 nucleotides in length. Their secondary structure includes four short double-helical elements and three loops (D, anti-codon, and T loops). Further hydrogen bonds mediate the characteristic L-shaped molecular structure. tRNAs have two regions of fundamental functional importance: the anti-codon, which is responsible for specific mRNA codon recognition, and the 3' end, to which the tRNAs corresponding amino acid is attached (by aminoacyl-tRNA synthetases). tRNAs cope with the degeneracy of the genetic code in two manners: having more than one tRNA (with a specific anti-codon) for a particular amino acid; and 'wobble' base-pairing, i.e. permitting non-standard base-pairing at the 3rd anti-codon position. Lineage: Bacteria; Bacillati; Chloroflexota; Dehalococcoidia. RNAcentral also lists the same sequence under 1 other name. The record is from RNAcentral.